GGCGGAGGCAGCGACCCCCUUCGGGCCUGGAUCUUCCCGCCGCGGGCCGGCACCUGCCGUUGCGAGCUCGGGCCGCGGCGACGUCUGUAGCGAAAAUUUAUCAGUCAAGAAGUAAACAGCAGCCAUUAUAGAACCUGAACCAAAAAUCCCUUCAAGUAAAAAGAACAUGAUCCUUAACUUCUCUGAGCCUCCUUUUCCUCACCUGAAAAAUCACCUAGUCCUACAGGAGUAGAUCCAUGCAAGGAUUUCUCUCAGCCCUGGCACAUGAUCUCUCUUUAAGAACCUUGGACAGGGUUCAGAAGGUGCAAUGGUGGUUGAGAUCCUGAAUUCCCACACGGCUGAUCUAGGUUUGAGUUCUGGACCCGGCAGCUUGAAAAAAGU
This is a long non-coding RNA of Tupaia belangeri chinensis (Chinese tree shrew), 381 nucleotides long. RefSeq lists it as uncharacterized. The transcript has 4 exons. The record is from RefSeq and is a predicted model, not a curated record. NCBI's taxonomy places the organism in Eukaryota, Metazoa, Chordata, Mammalia, Scandentia, Tupaiidae.